CAACUUUCAGCAASGGAUCUCUUGGCUCUCGCAUCGAAUGAAGAACGCAGCGAAAUGCGAUAAGUAAUGUKAAUUGCAGAAUUCAGUGAUAUCAUCGAAUCUUUGAACGCACCUUGCGCCCCUUGGUUAUUCCKUGGAGCAUGCCUGUUUGAGUAUCAUGA
This 161-nucleotide ribosomal RNA is filed under the name uncultured Tomentella. RNAcentral's name for it is "5.8S ribosomal RNA". It matches the Rfam family "5.8S ribosomal RNA". From Rfam's summary of the family: 5.8S ribosomal RNA (5.8S rRNA) is a component of the large subunit of the eukaryotic ribosome. It is transcribed by RNA polymerase I as part of the 45S precursor that also contains 18S and 28S rRNA. The record is from RNAcentral. Lineage: Eukaryota; Fungi; Basidiomycota; Agaricomycetes; Thelephorales; Thelephoraceae.